AAAGUCGUAACAAGGUUUCCGUAGGUGAACCUGCGGAAGGAUCAUUACCGAGUCAGGCCCUCAGGGGCCUUUACUCUCCACACCCUGCUUACCUACCUCCGUUGCCUUGUCGGCCCGUUCGUUCAGAAGCUUGGAGAUCUGAUCUGCGGCAUAUAGAUGGUUGGGAGAAGGUGGCGUCUCCAAGCACCCAGCCUGAUAACAUACGUGCCCCGAGAGGGGGUCGCCUUAGAGCCCCCAAGGGAUCUAAUCUGCGGCGUAUACACGGCUGGGAGAAGACCUGCACUCAAGCACUCAGCCUGUUAACAUAUGCUACUCGAGAGAGGUCGCCUCAGGUCCCAGGCCUUCGAGACACGGAACCGUCAGAGGACGAACAAACGCCUUGUCGUAACCGGACGUCUGAGUAAAACACUAAUAGUUAAA
Molecule: unclassified non-coding RNA, 420 nt
Filed under: plant metagenome
Description: partial contains small subunit ribosomal RNA and internal transcribed spacer 1
Rfam family: Eukaryotic small subunit ribosomal RNA (bases 1-47)
Source: RNAcentral